CAUUCUGUUCCCCUUUAUAGUGUGUUAACCUGGACCCAUAGAGAGUCAUUCACAGGGUGAUUAAUAGGAGAAACACAAUGCUAGAUUAAGAUGUAUAUAGAUGAUUAGGUGUCUGGUCUAUUCAGGGCUCUGGUUAAAAGUAGUGCACUAUAUAGGGAAUAGGGCUGUAGUAUAAAGUAGUGCACUAUCUAGGGAAUAGGGCUCUGGUCUAAAGUAGUGCACUAUAUAGGGAAUAGGGCUCUGGUCUAAAGUAGUGCACUAUAUAUGGAAUAGGGCUCUGGUCUAAAGUAGUGCCCUAUAUAGGGAAUAGGGCUCUGGUCUAAAGUAGUGCACUACAUGGUGAAUAAGGGGCCAUAUUGGAUACAGCCUCUAUGUGAGUUUGGUUGGGCACAAGCCUGGGCCUGUGUGUGAAGUAGUGCACUAUAUAGUGAAUAAGGGGCCAUAUUGGACACAAGCCUGGGCCUGUGUGUAAAGUAGUGCACUAUAUAGUGAAUAAGGGGCCAUAUUGGACACAAGCCUGGCCCUGUGUGUAAAGUAG
Oncorhynchus tshawytscha (Chinook salmon) is the source of this 538-nucleotide long non-coding RNA. The record is from Ensembl. NCBI's taxonomy places the organism in Eukaryota, Metazoa, Chordata, Actinopteri, Salmoniformes, Salmonidae.